This 506-nucleotide ribosomal RNA is filed under the name uncultured bacterium. RNAcentral's name for it is "partial 16S ribosomal RNA". It matches the Rfam family "Bacterial small subunit ribosomal RNA", at positions 29 to 523 of the family's 1533-position model. The record is from RNAcentral.
AGUGAACGCUGGCGGUAGGCCUAACACAUGCAAGUCGAACGGCAGCACAGGAGAGCUUGCUCUCUGGGUGGCGAGUGGCGGACGGGUGAGGAAUACGUCGGAAUCUACUUUUUCGUGGGGGAUAACGUAGGGAAACUUACGCUAAUACCGCAUACGACCUACGGGUGAAAGCAGGGGACCUUCGGGCCUUGCGCGAUUGAAUGAGCCGAUGUCGGAUUAGCUAGUUGGCGGGGUAAAGGCCCACCAAGGCGACGAUCCGUAGCUGGUCUGAGAGGAUGAUCAGCCACACUGGAACUGAGACACGGUCCAGACUCCUACGGGAGGCAGCAGUGGGGAAUAUUGGACAAUGGGCGCAAGCCUGAUCCAGCCAUACCGCGUGGGUGAAGAAGGCCUUCGGGUUGUAAAGCCCUUUUGUUGGGAAAGAAAUCCAGCUGGCUAAUACCCGGUUGGGAUGACGGUACCCAAAGAAUAAGCACCGGCUAACUACGUGCCAGCCGCCGCAGUAA